GGCUGUGGACUCUCAAGACACUUGGUUCCUCAUAUGGCCUCCAGAGGGCGCUGCUGCACUUACUACUGUUCCUUCUUCCUUUGUAGAUCUCCACCUGCUCACCUCAUCCUUCCUGCAGCUGGCUGAGAAUUUAGCAAAGGAAAGUGACAAGAAUCGGGUAUUCGAAACUUGUUUCAGGUUCCUGUUUGCAGCAUCGGUUUUUAUCUGUGUAGGAGACUUCUCCGGCAGACUCUUCCUGCUUUCAAGCUCUUGUUUCCUCUGGUACUUUCCAGUUGGUCUGUUUCAGAGUUCCUCCACAACAGUGCUGCAGCCUUCCCAAGGCUCAGCCAUGCUCCUGGCGCUCAUCCUAGUGCUGGGGAUAAACUUUCUCCUAAGAGUUGCCCAAGCUCAGUCAGUGACUCAACCUGACGCUCAUGUCACUGUCUCUGAAGAAGCCUCUCUACAGUUGAAAUGCAAGUAUUCCACACCUGGGGCACCUUCCCUGUUCUGGUAUGUCCAGUACCCACAGCAGGGGCUGCAGCUGCUCCUCAAGUACUAUUCAGGAGACCCAGUGGUUCAAGGAUUGAAUGACUUUGAGGCUGAAUUCAACAAGAGUGACUCUUCCUUCCACCUGCGGAAAGCCUCUGUGCACUGGAGCGACUCGGCUGUGUACUUCUGUGCUCUGAGCUUACAGUGUCUGAGUCUGUAAGGGGAGCUGAACACAAACACCCAUGGCUGUGGGUGCUCAGACACAAGAUCUCUCCUUGUUGUCUCUGAAGCGUCUCUUUCAACUUGGCGAGGAGGAAAGGGGUGUCAGGCAGUCCCAGCUGCCAUUGCACAACUCAUUUCCAGUUAAAAUAUCCACUGUCUGACUUCAUCUAAGAAGCUCUUUGCAUAUUUUCAAAAUUAUAUAAUGCUCAAUCAUAAUUCUUUAGAAUGGAGGAGACUGUCAUUUUUCCUUGAGAACCAUUUCCUGAGUGGGCAUUGCUUGGACAGUGACUGCGCUAAGCAGCUGGUUGUGCUCAUGAGGAAAGACAGAAGCUUUCAUUUGUCAUUUUGUGUUUUGUCUACACAGGAAGUGGAAGGUGUGCUCUUCAGCUUCUAUCCUGAAGUUUGCCUUCACUCCUAUCUUUCAUGUCAAUUUUCCUGUAAAUUCUUCUUUUCGUGCUAAUUAAACCGAUCAGAAUUUGUCACGAUAUUUAAGUACUCCCAUAUAGGAAAGAACUUGAUGCAUUUUUAGUUGAUAUAGAAGUUUAUCAAAAACAGAAAAGCUUAGUGAUCUGUCAUAAUUUUGUCAGGAACCAUUAAAAACAAAACAGGAGUAUAAGGAAUUGGAGCUCAUUGGUAUUUUUUCUAAAGACUUCUUCACAGUUAUGAAUGUACUAUUAUAAAUGUACUAUUCUAUUGUUGUUGCCAUCUUAAAUUCUUCAAAUCUACUUUGAGAAUUUGUAGUAUGAGUCCUUCUGCAUCUUUUGUUGGUAUGCAUUGCUUCCUCCUUUCCAUGAUUUUACUACGGUAAUAAUAAACAUAGAUUCUCUUUUUUUUUUUUUGGAAAGUUUUGUAUUUGUUUUUAAUUUUUUUAGUUAAAAUUACAGUAGAUUAUGAAGUAAUGGGUUUUAUCAUGGCGAGUUUAUACAUAAAAUAUUCAUGAGGGGCUGGGGAUUUAGCUCAGUGGUAGAGCGCUUACCUAGGAAGCGCAAGGCCCUGGGUUCGGUCCCCAGCUCCGGAAAAAAAGAACCAAAAAAAAAUAUUCAUGAAAUACAUGAUAUAUAAUUAUAUAUAAUAUAUAUAUAAAUGUAUAAUAAAUAUGUAUAAAAUUAUACUUGAUUUUCAUUGAUUUUCCUUCUCUACCAUGUUUCCUCUCCCUUCCAACUGCUUCAGUUUCUUAUCAUCAUUAUUCCUAGUCUGUUUCCUUUUGUUUUUAUGAGACAGGGUCUCUCUACUUAGAGCUGUUCUUCCUGGAAUUCACUUUGCAGUCUAGGCUGGCCUCAAACUCACAGAGAUCUGCCUACCUUUGCCUCCUGAGUUCUGGGAUUAAAGUUGUUAACCAUACAACCUGGCUAUCUGUUGUUUCUUUCUUCUUUCUUUCUUUUUUUGAGAUAGAGUUUUGCUGUGUAGUCCUGGCUGUCCUGGAACUUGUUCUGUAGAUCAGGUUGACCUCUAACUGCCGGCCUCUGCCUCCCAAGCGCUGGGGUCAAAGAUGUGCGCCACACUGCCUGUCUAUCUCUCCUUCCUUCCUUCCUUCCUUCCUUCCUUCC
Non-coding RNA from Rattus norvegicus (Norway rat), 2237 nucleotides. The record is from the annotation of a RefSeq genome assembly. NCBI's taxonomy places the organism in Eukaryota, Metazoa, Chordata, Mammalia, Rodentia, Muridae.